UUUUUAUUUUUAGAGCUAGGGUUAUAGAGACAAAACGUUCAAAUUAAAAUAAGACCAAAAUCCCUGAAUUUUAGCAUUCAGAUCCUGCCCCAGUGACUUGGCACAUCUUAUAUAAAUAUGCAGAGCCUAACUCCCGGUGACCCACAGUGCUUGGAACUAAAUGGCCCAGAAGGACAAGUCCUGCUUUAAAUUUCACUGCUUAACAACACAGCCAGCCUGUCCCCUCUGAUACAGACCCUGACAAAUGGCCUGUUAGAUAAGACUGAACAAGCAACAGCGCCCCACUGCUAGAAGACUUCUGCUCUUCAGCCUGGAGAUGGGAUCCCAUCCCAGGGCUCCGUUAGAGUGCAGUGGAGUUAAUGAACUUUCUACCUCAUUCUCUUCUAUCUUUCCCAUAGAUUCCUUUACAUCUUACACAUCACUGGCCUGACAUCAUCCACACAUCUCACUUUAUAGCCUAGGCAUUGAACUUACCAAUGCCUAGACUAUGCCCAACUGCUGCAAGUAUAACUACUGUACACCAACACCUUGGCCUUUUCCCCCCAUCACCCCUGCUACCAAACCUCAGUAGCCACUCACUGUGUAGUCUGAGGCAGCCCCGAGCACUGGCAAUACCCCUGCUUCAGCUUCCUAAGUGCUGGGAUUACAGGUGUGAGCCACUCUGCUCUAUCGUUUUUUGUUUGUUUGUUUGUUUGUUUUAUUAUUUUUAUUCUUUCCCCACUUGCUUUGUUAGUUGGGCUUGUCAUUUAUUUUUUGGUUUGUGCUAGAGACAGACUGACCAUGUAGCCCAUGCUGGCCUUGAACUCAUGGCCUCUCUGGGUGCUGGGAUCAUAGACAUACACCAUUAUACCAGGCAACUUGCCUUUCGUUUACAUCAGUAACUCUGGAACUUUAGAAGAAACAGAUGAGUUAUUUUACAGACCAUUCAGUGGGGUGUGUCCUGUUCUCCUCUGGCUCACAAUGGGCGCUGACCUCCCUCUGAGCUGGAAUGUUACAAGAGUGACACUGUGUGCCUCAGUCAUUUGCAGAAGAACUAGGUGUCUGUAGCCUGAAGAAGCUGAUGUUAGAUUUGAUCACCUGCUUAGGGUCCAUCAGUUUUUUCCACUCCAGAAGGUAGAAUUUGCUCUCUUGCAAGUAAGGAAGGGGCACUCUGCAGGGACACUUCCAGGUCACAUAAAUAUUCCCUUCCUGCUGGAUCUCUCGGGUCACUUCUGAUCGCCUGUGUUGCUCUGCUCUUACCCCUUGACCUUGGUCACUCUCCCUCCUGCAGGUCCUGGGAUGUGCUUCUCUCAGCCUGGUCUUCUAGCCUUAUGCUGUGAAAAGCCAUCCCUGUUAGUAACACUCAGGGCCAUGCCGCUCAGACACACCCUUCUCAGUCCAGGAGUGGACCCAGCGGCUGAAGGACAUAGGCUGCUGGCUCACCAGAAGAAAGGAAUCCUUCCAGAACCACACCUCCAAACCCAGAGGCCAGAAGCAGAUGGCAGCAGCAGAUAAGUGCAGGGGGUUCACUUGUCAGGGCUCUGACCGCGUCUGGGAGGGAUCAGCUGGGACAAGGGGCGUGUUCUUCUGCCACAGGCUGUUCCUGGUGUGUUGUGGAACGAGGCCGGGCAGAGGCAGCAGUACACGGUGUUCUGCAGGAAGGCAGGCAGGCGAGCUCCAAAUACGGACAUGCGAUAGGAAGCUUGGCUCCAGGAGUGCAGACGCCUCACACAGGAAGCAAACCAACCAGCCCAACCCAGCUCCCAAGUGUCACACAGCCAGGGAGGGAGACGGGGCUGCGAUGUGAGGAACUGAUUGUCCAGGCUUCAAAAGACCAAAUAAAUAAGCCGAUAAAUGAACCAUGAACCACCGAAGAGCCCUGAGCCACCAAAGAGAGGAAGAACGGUCCUCAGUCAAACCAAACUUUCUGAGGAGGAAGGGCUGGCCUUCUCAGCUCUGUUGUUGCUUUAGAAGCAGCUGAGGAGUUGACUGCCCCUGCAACUCUCCCAGGGCAACGCUGGCUGUCCCUGCACCUUUCAGAAAGGGAAAUAGUCCCUUCAUCUGAGCCAGGGCCACCAGCUCUGCGGUGAGGACCAAUUCUCUAUGUUGAAGGUCAGGUUUCUACUCUGAGUUGAAAGAAUAACUGGAAAGGCAGGCGUCUGGGAGACUCCUGCCACCGGUUGCUACCCACGUGAUAGCUGAUGGUGACUGGGGGGCAGUGGGCUGUGAAAUGUGCCAUCUGAAGUCAGAGCGGACUUGAGUUUGAACACCACCCCCUCUGCUUACCAGCUGCUUUACCCUGGUAAGUAAUGAAUUCCCAUUAAGACUCCAUCUCCUCCUGUGUUGGAAGCACUAUGACAUUCAACCUGGAUAGUGAAAUGGAACCAGACAGUCUUGGGUGAAGUCUUCCUAGACCGAUGAACAAAUGUCUACUCACCAACCACAGACCAAAAAAAAAAAACCCAAAAAAACAAAAAAAACAAUUCACACCCAAGUCUGUCUUGGUGUAGCAGUGAAUUCAAUUCCAGCUACUUACAGGUGUGUGGCAGCUUGUGAGCUUUGUUUUGUUUUGUUUUGUUUUUUGUUUUUUUUUUUUUUUUCGAGACAGGGUUUCUCUGUCCUGGAACUAGCUCUUGUAGACCAGGCUGGCCUCGAACUCACAGAGAUCCACCUGCCUCUGCCUCCCAAUGCCCGGCAGCUUGUGAGCUUCUAUACACUGAAGAAAAGGUUUCUUACUCCCCGCCUCUCCCCGCCCCAGUCCAUAUAUCCUCAGGAGGGGCAGGGUCUUGUGAACCUCUUGCCCCAGGAACUGCUUAUGUACACAGAGGUUCCCAGGAAUGGAUGGCUUUCCCAGAGUUCCUUCUGUCAGUCAUGGAAACUGAGAGAGGAGAGAGAGAGAGAGAGAGAGGAGAGGAGAGGAGAGGAGAGAGAAGAGAGAGAGAGAGAGAGAGAGAGAGAGAGAGAGAGAGAGAGAGAGAGAAUGUUUCCCUGUGGCUCCCCUAGCAACAUCUAACUGUCUAUAUAUCUUCAGGGAGAGGCCAGGCUUCCGAACCACACCCAUCUGGAGAGUUUAACUGGCUCAGUCUUUGCAAGUUUCUUUUGAAUAGUCCCAGCUGCUGAGAAUUCAAGGUGAGGGCCUUGUCAUGCCUAGAGGACAGAGUUCCUAGCAGAUGGCACAUUGCAAUGCAUUCAAAAGGUGCUUAUUAAGUGCCCCAUAAUCCUCUAGUAACAGGAAGGGCUGUUAUUAUCAGUUUCUUGUGUAAGUGACUUCUCCCUGAAUAAAAUUAACCUAUGAUGAUGGUGGUGGUGAUGACAUGAGACUUGAGUAGAAGCCACUGUGAGCUUGAGGGACCAAACAAUGAGCAACGGGUGGCAUAAGAUGUCCUGAUCCAGGUAGCCACUUCUGUUACUGCCUAUCCAUUUUCAGAAGCCUUCAAUAGAAUUUAGUUUUUGUUUUUCUUUUUUGAGACAGGGGUUUUCUGUAGCUUUGGAGGCUGUCCUGGAACUAACUCUUGUAGACCAGGCCGGCCUCGAACUCACAGAGAUCUGCCUGCCUCUGUCUCCUGAGUGCUGGGAUUGAAGGCGUGCUCCACCACUGUCUGGCUCCUUCAAUAGAAUUUUAAAAACUUUUAUUAUGAGGUGUGUAUGUGUGUGUGUGGGGGGGGUGGAGGGGUGGGAGGGUGUCCAAGCCCAGACCACAGCAAGUGUGUAGACAUUGUUCUUUUUUUUCUUUUUUUUUUUUUUUGGUAUUUCUCUGUGUAGCUUUGGAUCCUCUCCUGGCACUCACUCCGGAGACCAGGCUGGCCUUGAAUUCACAGAGAUCCGCCUGCCUCUGCCUCCCGAGUGCUGGGAUUAAAGGCGUACGCCACCAACGCCUGGCGUGUGUGGACAUUGUAAGACAACUUUUGUUUUGAGAUAGGAUCUUCCCAUGUAUCUUAGGCUGGCCUUGAACUCAUCAUAUAGCCAAGGCUAGCCUUGAACUCCUUAUAAUCACAAGUCUCCACUUUCUUAAGUGUUAAGAUUACAGGCUUGCAUCAUCACACCCAGCUCAAACUGGCUUUUAUAACAGACUUACCACCAAGGUGACUCAUUGAUCUGUUAAUCCUGGAUGGAUUAAUACAUUCCUCCAGGCAGAAUCCUCUAGACUAAUCAUUUCUCUAGCCAGUGAGAUGGCUCAGGUAUAGUGCUUGCUGAUGAACCUGACAAUAUGAGUUCAAUCCCGGGACCUACACAACGGAAGAACAGCACUGAUUUUUAAAAGUAGCUGUUUGGGGGCUGGAGUGAUGGUUUAGUGGUUAAGAUCAGUGGCUGCUCUUAUAGAGGAACUGGAUUGUAGAAGGAGACCUACCAGAGGCACCGUGGCGCUGACCAUGCCCGUUUGGGCAUAGUCACGGGUGUGUACAUGAGCAAGUAGGAUUUGGUCUGGGCCAGGGACAAGCUUGUUCUCUCUUGGUUCCGGUUGGGUUGUGAAGAGCCACUGGGCGUGGAUCCUUGGAGCUGGGACUUGAGGAUUAUCAGUUUCUUGUGUAAGUGACUUCUCCCUGAAUAAAAU
Molecule: long non-coding RNA, 4531 nt
Filed under: Cricetulus griseus (Chinese hamster)
Lineage: Eukaryota; Metazoa; Chordata; Mammalia; Rodentia; Cricetidae
Description: lncRNA (ENSCGRG00015031272.1)
Source: RNAcentral